Molecule: ribosomal RNA, 401 nt
Filed under: uncultured bacterium
Lineage: Bacteria
Description: bacterial SSU rRNA
Rfam family: Bacterial small subunit ribosomal RNA
Source: RNAcentral
GGGGAAUCUUGCGCAAUGGGCGAAAGCCUGACGCAGCAACGCCGCGUGCGGGAAGAAGGCUUUCGGGUUGUAAACCGCUUUCAGAAGGAACGAAACUGACGGUACUUUCAGAAGAAGGUGCGGCCAAUUACGUGCCAGCAGCCGCGGUGACACGUAGGCACCAAGCGUUGUCCGGAUUUAUUGGGCGUAAAGAGCUCGUAGGCGGUUCAGUAAGUCAGAUGUGAAAACUUUGGGCUCAACCCAAAGCGUGCAUCUGAUACUGCUGUGACUUGAGUUCGGUAGGGGAGUGGGGAAUUCCUAGUGUAGCGGUGAAAUGCGCAGAUAUUAGGAGGAACACCGGUGGCGAAGGCGCCACUCUGGGCCGAAACUGACGCUGAGGAGCGAAAGCGUGGGUAGCAAAC